GCCGGCGUCAUUUUCUAGACCAGCCAGCAGUGAGUCUCCACAUCUCAUUUUUCACUUCAUCCUCUGCCGUGUCUAAACUUCUCCAACAUGACCACAAGAUCUAGUCGGAUGUCUUUCACCCGCUCUACCCCAGUGUACCGUGCUGCCAGUAUUUAUGCUGGUGCUGGUGGACAGGAUGUUCGCAUCUCCUCUGCUUCUGCAUCUUCCCUGCGUUCUGGCAUUCCACUUAGACCUUCAACCUCCUUUAAGCUGAGCAGUGGAUUGAGUGGAGGCAUGGGUGCCGGUUACGGUGGUGCCGGUUACGGUGGUGCCAGCGCGUCCGUGACAGCCAGCGGUGGCUCCGGUGCUUCGAUCCUGGGCAAUGAGAAGGGAGCCAUGCAGAACCUGAACGAUCGCCUGGCCAAUUACCUGGAGACGGUGAAGACCCUGGAAAAGGCCAACAAGGAACUGGAGCUGAAGAUCAUGGAGGCCCUGGAGAAAGGAGGGCCUGACAUGAGAGACUACAGCAAGUAUGAGCCCAUCAUAGACGACUUACGCAGACAGAUCUUCGAUAAAAUAAUGGAUAACGCCCGUUUAGUGCUUCAGAUUGACAACGCCCGCCUCGCUGCCGACGACUUCAAAGUCAAAUCUGAGAAUGAGAUGGCGAUCCGCCUGUCCGUGGAGGCCGACAUUGGCGGGCUGAAGAAAGUCCUCGACGAAACGAACAUGAGCAGGCUCAACAUCGAGAACGAGAUUGAAGCCGUGAAGGAGGAGCUUCUAUUCCUAAAGAAGAACCAUGAGAACGAAGUGAUGGAGCUGAGGAGUCAGAUCUCACAGUCAGGUGUGCAGGUGGAUGUAGACGCUCCCAAAGGUCAGGACCUGUCCCAGAUCAUGGAGGACAUGAGAGCCAACUACGAGAAGAUCGCAUUGAAAAACGCAGAGGACCUCAAACGGUGGCAUGAAAAUCAGAUUGCAGAUGUGCAGGUGCAGGUAUCACAGAACACAGAGGCUCUCCAGGGGGCCCAAAUGGAGAAGAGCGACUUAUUACGACAGAUACAGACUCUGGAAAUUGAACUUGCAUCUCAACAGAGCUUAAAAGCCUCUUUAGAAGACACCCUGCGCAACACAGAGCUACGUAACAACAUGGAAAUGGAGAAGUAUAACGCCCUCAUUAUCCGGCUGGAGGAGGAGCUGGCUAGCUUACGCGCGAACAUACAGCAGCAGACCCAAGAGUACGAGGCGCUGCUCAACAUGAAGAUGAAACUUGAGGGCGAGAUCAGCACUUACAAGACUCUGCUGGAUGGUGGAGACUUCAAGUAAGAGCUAUAAAGAUGUGGUGGAAGAAAAAAAAUGCAGGUCAAGGCAAGAUGAUGGUGAUGGUGGAGGCUCCAGGAUGCACUGGACGAGCUGGAGGCCGCCGACUAAUUUGUAACAAAGGAUUGGGAGUCAUCGCAACAAUGGAAGCAAUCUGCCCACACCCAUUAAUUAUGAGUGGGGUGGGUGGAGGAGUUUUGACAUUUUUUGCACUAUAACCACAUGUCAAGUGAACCCUGAUUUAAGCAGUUUUUAAUAAAGGCAUUAUUCCACCACAGUGAAACAUGGAUCACUGCCUGAUCUGACCGCAAAAUAAAAACAAAUAAAACCACUUCUUAAACCUGAA
RNA transcript from Neolamprologus brichardi, 1639 nucleotides. It is a transcript of the gene named keratin, type I cytoskeletal 18-like, with no coding region annotated. The record is from RefSeq and is a predicted model, not a curated record. NCBI's taxonomy places the organism in Eukaryota, Metazoa, Chordata, Actinopteri, Cichliformes, Cichlidae.